GGGCCCAUAGCUUAGUCUGGUUAAAGCGCUCGGCUCAUAACCGCGUGACCACCGGUUCGAAUCCGGUUGGGCCCA
RNAcentral lists this transfer RNA (75 nucleotides) under Methanohalobium evestigatum Z-7303. Its description in RNAcentral is "tRNA-Ile2 (CAT) (tRNA-Ile2-CAT-1-1)". It matches the Rfam family "tRNA". Rfam says of the family: Transfer RNA (tRNA) molecules are approximately 80 nucleotides in length. Their secondary structure includes four short double-helical elements and three loops (D, anti-codon, and T loops). The record is from Rfam by way of RNAcentral. RNAcentral also lists the same sequence under 1 other name. Lineage: Archaea; Methanobacteriati; Methanobacteriota; Methanomicrobia; Methanosarcinales; Methanosarcinaceae.